UAAAAAGAAAGGGAAGGGAAAGACAAGACAAUAUUGACCAUGAAUCAAGUGUGAUCGUAGCACAAAGAAGCAGGAAACUGUUCCCCAGAGCAGGCACCAGUUCAGAGAAGAGGUCCAAUGCUAUGAAAGCCCUGCCCCAUCUGGCUCCCGCCGUGCUCCUGCGCGGUGUACUAGGGCCUCCUGGCACCUUUUUAUCAUCAGCCCGGGGCGCAAUGCCAGACCAGUUAGUAGAGGCAGAAGUCAGGCAGGCAGGUGUCGUCCAGUGUGUUCCAGGCCAGCUGAGUGUGCAACCAGCGCCCAGUUCAGACAGCGCCCCAGGUCGAGGCUGGCCUGCGUAGGGGCCGCGCUCUGGCUGGACGUCACGCUCAGCGCGCAGGGCACCUGAGGACCGUGCAUCGCUGACCUAGUUGUCAGCGCAGCGAGGAGCAGGCACUGUGGAGGCGGAAACGCUGCGCGCAACUCAAGCACUGCCAGGCUGCUGAAGAGGCCUUCCGGGGCACAGAGGCCGCAGCUGCGCGGUGCGGAGGGCUGUCAGCGAGCAUGGAUCAGGGAGCGUUUCCCGCGAGAAAGCAGAGCCUGCACCAGCCGAGGGCUCCGCUGGUCCGAGGACUGUUGCCUAUUCCCCAGCGGCCCCCGACCUCUUCUCUGAACUGAUCCCUGCUCUGGGGAACAGUGUCCUGCUUCUUUGUGCCAUGAUCUCGCUUGACUCAUGGGCCAAUAUUGUCUUGUCUUUUAUUUCCUUUUAUGGACAUAGUCCUUGCUUAUUCCAGACUUGUCCUAUGAAUUAUAUGAGGAGGUUGGGCCCUGGGAAGCUUUCCCUUGGUUUUUAGAAUCUCAGCCCCCUAGCUGCCUGCCCUGGGAGGGUGGAGAUAUAGUCAGAAGACAGAAACCACUCCCACCACUCCAGCCUCCUGUAUAAGCUACAAAAUGAAAAUGUGGGCCAGGUGAGGUGGCCCAGGCCCGUAAUCCCAGCUCUUUGCGGGGCCGAGGCAGGUGGAUCACCCGAGGUCAGGAGUUCGAGAUCAGCCUGUUCCCCCCACCACCACCAAAAAAGGAAAAAGAAAACGUAGAGCCCUUCUAAAUGCAGCCCCUCUGUGACUAUGCAAGCCCCUGGCCCCAGGAAGCCAGGACUGCCCUACUCCUCUACUGCACAAGGCUCAUUAAACUUUACACUUCAGAAAUCUCGGAGUUACAGUACUUACUAGGAAAGAGCCACUCCCUGCUUCUCUAUUUGCAUAAUAAACGAGGAGGCUGCCAGACCCAUCUAACCACUCCACGUGUACCCGUGCACCCACGUGUGGCCCUUAUCAGAUGCAGGAGGUGAGCUAAGUUGCCAAUUGCUCAGCUUCUUUCUACACCUGGAGAAGGGAGUGGCUAGGACAGGGUCUUCAGGGAACAUGCUGCCUCAUUCUUAACUGCUUCUCUCAGUUCCCCCCACCACCUCCCCCACUGACUCGGUUAUCUAUUCAGUAUCUAAGAGAGUAGUUCAGAUAAGGAAGUCUCCUGAAGGAGGCUAAAGUUCUGGUACUGGGUUUAGGGUGGACCUAAAGAGCUGUGUGAGCCACCACACCCGACCUCUGAAUUCUAUUUCAUUGCUGUUAAAUGAUACCUCCCCACUAACCA
Long non-coding RNA from Sapajus apella (tufted capuchin), 1623 nucleotides. RefSeq lists it as uncharacterized. Lineage: Eukaryota; Metazoa; Chordata; Mammalia; Primates; Cebidae. The record is from RefSeq and is a predicted model, not a curated record. The transcript has 2 exons.